RNAcentral lists this ribosomal RNA (587 nucleotides) under uncultured bacterium. RNAcentral describes it as "bacterial SSU rRNA". It matches the Rfam family "Bacterial small subunit ribosomal RNA", at positions 338 to 917 of the family's 1533-position model. The record is from RNAcentral.
CCUACGGGAGGCAGCAGUGGGGAAUAUUGGACAAUGGGGGCAACCCUGAUCCAGCCAUGCCGCGUGUGUGAAGAAGGCCCUCGGGUUGUAAAGCACUUUCAGCGAGGAAGAACGCCUAGCGGUUAAUACCCGCUAGGAAAGACAUCACUCGCAGAAGAAGCACCGGCUAACUCCGUGCCAGCAGCCGCGGUAAUACGGAGGGUGCAAGCGUUAAUCGGAAUUACUGGGCGUAAAGCGCGCGUAGGUGGCUUGAUAAGCCGGUUGUGAAAGCCCCGGGCUCAACCUGGGAACGGCAUCCGGAACUGUCAAGCUAGAGUGCAGGAGAGGAAGGUAGAAUUCCCGGUGUAGCGGUGAAAUGCGUAGAGAUCGGGAGGAAUACCAGUGGCGAAGGCGGCCUUCUGGACUGACACUGACACUGAGGUGCGAAAGCGUGGGUAGCAAACAGGAUUAGAUACCCUGGUAGUCCACGCCGUAAACGAUGUCGACCAGCCGUUGGGUGCCUAGCGCACUUUGUGGCGAAGUUAACGCGAUAAGUCGACCGCCUGGGGAGUACGGCCGCAAGGUUAAAACUCAAAUGAAUUGACGGA